CCUACGGGUGGCAGCAGUGAGGAAUAUUGGUCAAUGGACGAGAGUCUGAACCAGCCAAGCCGCGUGAAGGAUGACUGCUCUAUGGGUUGUAAACUUCUUUUAUAAAGGAAUAAAACGAGGCACGUGUGCCUUUUUGCAUGUAUUUUAUGAAUAAGGAUCGGCUAACUCCGUGCCAGCAGCCGCGGUAAUACGGAGGAUCCGAGCGUUAUCCGGAUUUAUUGGGUUUAAAGGGAGCGUAGAAGGGUGGUUAAGUCAGUUGUGAAAGUCCGAGGCUCAACCGUAGAAUUGCAAUUGAUACUGGCAGUCUUGAGUGUAGUUGAGGUAGGCGGAAUUCGUGGUGUAGCGGUGAAAUGCUUAGAGAUCACACAGAACCCCGAUUGCGAAGGCAGCUUACUAAGCUGUUACUGACAUUGAUGCUCGAAAGUGUGGGUAUCAAACAGGAUUAGAUACCCCUGUAGUC
RNAcentral lists this ribosomal RNA (460 nucleotides) under uncultured bacterium. RNAcentral describes it as "partial 16S ribosomal RNA". It matches the Rfam family "Bacterial small subunit ribosomal RNA", at positions 338 to 795 of the family's 1533-position model. The record is from RNAcentral.